Molecule: long non-coding RNA, 254 nt
Organism: Hippocampus zosterae (dwarf seahorse)
Lineage: Eukaryota; Metazoa; Chordata; Actinopteri; Syngnathiformes; Syngnathidae
Exons: 2
Source: RefSeq, a predicted model, not a curated record
CGAUCAAAAUCCUCACGCAGACAGCACGCGAGGGGCUGUGUUUAUGACGGCUCGAUAACACAUCUGUUACAAAUCUUGAUCACUGCACAGGACAGUGGGACCCUGCAUACCAGCUAGCAGCAUUGAUCUCCUGCUAGCAGUCUGGCCUGGGAAAAUGCGAGCAACACAAGCAUAGUCCGCGCACAUGAGCCCGACUUGCCGGCCCCCAAAUUAUUGGGUCUUUAUGCAGAAUUAUCAAAAAGAGUAAAACAUAA